CCUACGGGAGGCAGCAGUGAGGAAUAUUGGUCAAUGGGCGCAAGCCUGAACCAGCCAAGUCGCGUGAGGGAUGACGGUCCUAUGGAUUGUAAACCUCUUUUGUCGGGGAGCAAGGCCCGCCACGUGUGGCGGGAAGGAGAGUACCCGAAGAAAAAGCAUCGGCUAACUCCGUGCCAGCAGCCGCGGUAAUACGGAGGAUGCGAGCGUUAUCCGGAUUUAUUGGGUUUAAAGGGUGCGUAGGCGGAAGGUUAAGUCAGCGGUCAAAUUGAGAGGCUCAACCUCUUCGAGCCGUUGAAACUGGUGUUCUGGAGUGAGUGAGAAGUAUGCGGAAUGCGUGGUGUAGCGGUGAAAUGCAUAGAUAUCACGCAGAACUCCGAUUGCGAAGGCAGCAUACCGGCGCUCAACUGACGCUCAUGCACGAAAGUGUGGGUAUCGAACAGGAUUAGAUACCCUUGUAGUC
RNAcentral lists this ribosomal RNA (460 nucleotides) under uncultured bacterium. RNAcentral's name for it is "partial 16S ribosomal RNA". It matches the Rfam family "Bacterial small subunit ribosomal RNA", at positions 338 to 795 of the family's 1533-position model. The record is from RNAcentral.